This 476-nucleotide ribosomal RNA is filed under the name uncultured bacterium. RNAcentral's name for it is "bacterial SSU rRNA". It matches the Rfam family "Bacterial small subunit ribosomal RNA", at positions 28 to 524 of the family's 1533-position model. The record is from RNAcentral.
GAUGAACGCUAGCGGCAGGCCUAAUACAUGCAAGUCGAGGGGUAGAGUUAGCUUGCUAACUUGAGACCGGCGCACGGGUGCGUAACGCGUAUGCAACCUACCUUUAUCUGGGGGAUAGCCCGAAGAAAUUCGGAUUAACACCGCAUAAAAUCACAGUAUCGCAUGAUGCAAUGAUCAAAUAUUUAUAGGAUAAAGAUGGGCAUGCGUGUCAUUAGUUAGUUGGCGGGGUAACGGCCCACCAAGACCACGAUGACUAGGGGGUCUGAGAGGAUGAUCAGCCACACUGGGACUGAGAUACGGCCCAGACUCCUACGGGAGGCAACAGUGGGGAAUAUUGGACAAUGGGCGAAAGCCUGAUCCAGCAAUGCCGCGUGAGUGAUGAAGCCUUAGGGUUGUAAAGCUCUUUACCCGGGAUGAUAAUGACAGUACCGGGAGAAUAAGGCCCCGGCUAACUCCGUGCCAGCAGCCGCGGUAAU